CAGUCGCCGCGGUAAUACGAAGGGUGCAAGCGUUACUCGGAAUUACUGGGCGUAAAGCGUGUGUAGGUGGUUGUUUAAGCCUGUCGUGAAAGCCCUGGGCUCAACCUGGGAAUUGCGAUGGAUACUGGGCGACUAGAGUGCGGUAGAGGAUAGUGGAAUUUCCGGUGUAGCAGUGAAAUGCGUAGAGAUCGGAAGGAACAUCUGUGGCGAAGGCGACUAUCUGGGCCAACACUGACACUGAGACACGAAAGCGUGGGGAGCAAACAGGAUUAGAUACCCGUGUAGUCCCUGUCUCUUAUAA
RNAcentral lists this ribosomal RNA (301 nucleotides) under uncultured bacterium. Its description in RNAcentral is "partial 16S ribosomal RNA". It matches the Rfam family "Bacterial small subunit ribosomal RNA", at positions 509 to 809 of the family's 1533-position model. The record is from RNAcentral.